RNAcentral lists this long non-coding RNA (910 nucleotides) under Cottoperca gobio. RNAcentral describes it as "lncRNA (ENSCGOG00000024625.1)". Lineage: Eukaryota; Metazoa; Chordata; Actinopteri; Perciformes; Bovichtidae. The record is from RNAcentral.
GCGGGUGUGGCGGAGUUUUAAAAACUCCUGGGAAUGUGUUGACAGUGAAGAAGCCGUCACUGCUUUGAUAUUAUUCACUAAAACACUGAGUGUGAAUUACCUCUUAAUUAACUGUCUUCAAAUCUUCGAAAGGAUGGAGGCGUGCAUGCCAGAAAUCAAAAAGAAACCAAAGCCGGUGAGAACAUUUACAUCUAAUACAAAUCACAGUCUGAAUACUCUCAAAAUACUGAUUCGUAGAGUGUAUUUAAAACAUCCAAACUCACCAUACACACAUGGAAAGCUAACCUACCGUAUCAUAUAUAUAUAUAUAUAUAUAUAUAUAUAUAUAUAUAUAUAUAUAUAUAUAUAUAUAUAUUACAAACAUCAGUUUUUCUUCUUUGUCCUCAGCCGAAGCCGUUCCCAAAGCCUACAGUGGUACAGUAAUAAUAAACCCAAAUCUUUAAUUAGCUAUGUGAGAAAGUUAAUCAUGUGUUUACUUGUUUUCUGAAGUGCAUGUGCUGUGACAUCAGCAGGUUUAAAAAAGAGAAGCAAAAAGACUGUAGGAUGGCUUCACGGUUCAGUAAACUGUCUUUACAGGUAAAAACAAAUGACCAAGAGAGACCGGAGAAACCAACUCCUCUGGUGCCUCAACGACCUGCAGACACGGAAAUGAACACCACAACCAGAUACAGCCAACGCAGGAGGAUACAGGCUGAGGACACACAGAGCCAAUCAGAAGUUCCCAAAAAUGAAACGGACUUCAAACAGAGCGAUCAGUCGGCCCUGACCGGAUUGUUUCGUCGGAGCCAAAAAGAGAAAACGCAUUCGUUCACUGUAAGAAAUGCACACGCAGCUCUUCUCUGCACAUUACUUAGCAGGUGUUCAAGUAUACGUUUACUUUAAUGCCUAUGAUAUUGAAUAGGUUUUUUGC